This 482-nucleotide ribosomal RNA is filed under the name uncultured bacterium. Its description in RNAcentral is "bacterial SSU rRNA". It matches the Rfam family "Bacterial small subunit ribosomal RNA", at positions 19 to 518 of the family's 1533-position model. The record is from RNAcentral.
CUGGCUCAGGACGAACGCUGGCGGCGUGCCUAACACAUGCAAGUCGAGCGAGGAGAUUCCUUCGGGAUGAUCCUAGCGGCGGACGGGUGAGUAACACGUGGGCAACCUGCCUCAUAGAGAGGAAUAGCCUUCCGAAAGGGAGAUUAAUACCUCAUAACAUUGCAGUUUCGCAUGGAACAGCAAUUAAAGGAGUAAUCCGCUAUGAGAUGGGCCCGCGGCGCAUUAGCUAGUUGGUGAGGUAACGGCUCACCAAGGCGACGAUGCGUAGCCGACCUGAGAGGGUGAUCGGCCACAUUGGGACUGAGACACGGCCCAGACUCCUACGGGAGGCAGCAGUGGGGAAUAUUGCACAAUGGGGGAAACCCUGAUGCAGCAACGCCGCGUGAGUGAUGACGGCCUUCGGGUUGUAAAGCUCUGUCUUCAGGGACGAUAAUGACGGUACCUGAGGAGGAAGCCACGGCUAACUACGUGCCAGCCGCCGC